AAAUAAUUAAAAAGAAAAUAAUUAAAAAGAAAAUAAUUGAUAACAAUCUUACCGGUUAAUAAAAAAUGGAGGGGGUUAAUAAAAAUGGAUAGUAAGGUUGAGCAAAAAUGGAGCGCAAAUAAACAAAUCGGUUCUUCAUCUCGAUGACCGAGGGCCUCAACAGAUUUGUCGACCUACAAAAUCGCGGAGAUAAUUAAAUAAACUCUAAAACAGAGGCAGGAAAGCUACCAAAAUAAAGAAAAAGAAUAAAAGGAAAACUAGAUUAACAUUGACCGUUACCAACACAGAAUCAGAAGCUCCCCCAAUCACACCACUUCAUCCGAGGGGGGGACACAAGUAAUGUUGGGGACAAAGAAACAUGGAGAUUUAUAUUCCCAGGCUUUGGAAAAAAAUGCAAUUAAAUAUUAGCUAAUCACAUAUAAUACUUAGCUGCUAAACAAAUCAGAAUGGAGGGAGCUGAAAAGUAAUCCCUUCACCAACUAACAUGACAAUAUUAUCCACCCUCACAUCUUCCUCAUCGUCAGACCAGGUUAAAUCUUCUUUCGGGUUCAUCUCCACGUCAAGAAAAAUGAUAGGCUCCACAUACGUCUACAAAAAAAAACAGAUCAUAGAGGAAGAUUAAUGACGUUAAUAAAAGAAAAAUUCCUUCUAAUGUCCUUUUCAUAUUACCCCUUUUCAAUUCUAUCAUUUUCUAUUUACCAUUUUCAUUUAUACCCUAUUUAAAUUUUUAAUGAUCAUUUUACCCCUCUUUGUAAAUUGAUUUAGGUUAACAAAAUGAAAAAUUAAUAUUUUCGCCUAAAAUAUUCCAAAAUAAAAUUUCCCGCCAAAAAUUUUCGAAAAAACAAAUUCCCGCCAAAAUUUUCCCGCCAAAAAUUUUAGA
RNAcentral lists this small RNA (880 nucleotides) under Arabidopsis thaliana (thale cress). RNAcentral's name for it is "ATSL044220". The record is from RNAcentral. Lineage: Eukaryota; Viridiplantae; Streptophyta; Magnoliopsida; Brassicales; Brassicaceae.